Non-coding RNA from Picea glauca (white spruce), 241 nucleotides. The record is from Rfam. Lineage: Eukaryota; Viridiplantae; Streptophyta; Pinopsida; Pinales; Pinaceae.
CUAGGCCUUUAUUUAUUUCUUCUAUGACAUUUUUCUCAGUUUGUUUUAGUUGGUUUUGCAACUGGACUAUCCUAUGGUUACUUUGUUUCAACCUUGUUCUCAUAUUGUCAACAAGACCUCAGCCUGCUAACUAGCUACGCUGAGGUUUCCCUUCGUGGCCAGCUUCUUAGAGGGACUAUGGCCGUUUAGGCCAUGGAAGUUUGAGGCAAUAAUAGGUCCGUGAUGCCCUUAGAUGUUUUGG